UCCUGCAGCUCAGGAGGCCAGCCGAGGCUGUCGGGUGACCCCCCUGCACCGUGAAGACGGCUGGACGAAGAGGAAAGAUGAGGCAGGAUUGUGUAUUUGGGUUCCUGCCGUAUUGGGUUGCAUUUGGAGAGGAGCAGUCCUGUGGCAGGAGGCGGAUAUUUGGGCUGGUUCGUUGUUAUUUUGGUGGAAUUUAAUAAAGAAUAUGAAAUUAAUAAACAACACAGCUGAAACAUGAA
Molecule: long non-coding RNA, 236 nt
Organism: Pygocentrus nattereri (red-bellied piranha)
Lineage: Eukaryota; Metazoa; Chordata; Actinopteri; Characiformes; Serrasalmidae
Exons: 2
Source: RefSeq, a predicted model, not a curated record